Molecule: long non-coding RNA, 326 nt
Organism: Cyprinus carpio carpio
Lineage: Eukaryota; Metazoa; Chordata; Actinopteri; Cypriniformes; Cyprinidae
Source: Ensembl
GUGCUUCUAGGCGGUUGUUAGAGCGGUUGCUAGGGUACCCAGGGUGGUUGCUAGGGUGUUGCUAUGUCGUUGCUAGGUUAGUUGGGGUGGUUGCUAGGGUCCCCAGGAUGGUUGCUAGGGCCGUUGCUAGGGUACCCAGCAUGGUUGCUAGGGUAAUUGGGGUGGUUGCUAGGGUGUUGCUAUGUGGUUGCUAGGUCACUUGGGGUGGUUGCUAAGGUGUUGCUAGGCGGUUGCUAGGGUGUUCUGGGUGGUUGCUAGGCGGUUGCUAGGCAGUUGCUAAGGUACUUAGGGUGGUUGCUAAGGUGUUGCUAGGUGGUUGCUAGGGU